CCGAUCGGUUAGGUUGGGGACUAGCGGCGAUUGUGGCACUUCGAUGUGCAUGGGGGACACCGAUGCACCGGUAGGUACUUUUGAGCAGCUCAUUUGUCUAUAUGAAGGGAAGGUGUUCUUAUUUGCUGUUUGUCAAAAAUGUGUACAUGGUUAUCAUGGGUCUUAUCUUUACACUACAUUGUUACUAUGUUAUAGUGAUAGCGCAAUAUUAAUGCAGUUCAGUUUGAG
RNAcentral lists this long non-coding RNA (228 nucleotides) under Musa acuminata (dwarf banana). Its description in RNAcentral is "long non-coding RNA (MACU_LNC011832)". The record is from RNAcentral. Lineage: Eukaryota; Viridiplantae; Streptophyta; Magnoliopsida; Zingiberales; Musaceae.